GAAAGGAUGACAGAGUGGUUUAAUGUGAUUGUCUUGAAAACAAUGGCUAUGGGCUCGUGGGUUCAAGUCCCACUCCUUUCG
Molecule: transfer RNA, 81 nt
Filed under: Tethya actinia
Lineage: Eukaryota; Metazoa; Porifera; Demospongiae; Tethyida; Tethyidae
Also listed under: 1 other name
Description: tRNA-Ser
Rfam family: tRNA
About the family: Transfer RNA (tRNA) molecules are approximately 80 nucleotides in length.
Source: RNAcentral